Molecule: ribosomal RNA, 440 nt
Filed under: Cryobacterium sp.
Lineage: Bacteria; Bacillati; Actinomycetota; Actinomycetes; Micrococcales; Microbacteriaceae
Description: bacterial SSU rRNA
Rfam family: Bacterial small subunit ribosomal RNA
Source: RNAcentral
UCGAUGGAGAGUUUGAUCCUGGCUCAGGACGAACGCUGGCGGCGCGCUUAACACAUGCAAGUCGAACGUGAAGCCCGGGCUUGCCCGGGUGGAAAGUGGCGAACGGGUGCGUAACACGUGAGGAACGUGCCCCGAAGACCGGGAUAACUCGAGGAAACUCGUGCUAAUACCGGAUGUCCUCACCGGAUCGCAUGGUCUGGUGAGGAAAUGGAUUCCGCUUCGGGAUCGCCUCGCGGCCUAUCAGCUUGUUGGUGGGGUAACGGCCCACCAAGGCAACGACGGGUAGCUGGUCUGAGAGGAUGUCCAGCCACACUGGGACUGAGACACGGCCCAGACUCCUACGGGAGGCAGCAGUGGGGAAUCUUGCACAAUGGGCGAAAGCCUGAUGCAGCGACGCCGCGUGCGGGAUGAAGGCCCUCGGGUCGUAAACCGCUUUCAGC